RNAcentral lists this long non-coding RNA (772 nucleotides) under Homo sapiens (human). RNAcentral describes it as "HSALNT0367694". Lineage: Eukaryota; Metazoa; Chordata; Mammalia; Primates; Hominidae. The record is from RNAcentral.
GAAUGGCUUUGGUUCACCUGUAAUUCACAGUUUAGCUGAUCCAGUGUACUGUAAAGUCUGUUUCACUCCACCAGCCAACAAGGAGCAGGCGGCCGUGGUUUUCUCAUGUUCUGGGGGAAGCUGUUUGUCAGUGUUAACCUGGCUAACUUUGGACAGCUGCAACAACAACAUCUAUCCCUUGGCAUAUGGUGUGUUUAGAUGCUAAACACUGCCUCAUCUCGAAGGACUCUCGCCAUGUUGCCCAGACUCAUCUCAAACUACUGGACCCAGACAAUCCUCACACUUUGGCCUCCCAAAAUGCUGAGAUUACAGCUUACCUAAAGUUAACAUCUGAUGACAUGAUCGCAACUCCAUAUCCUGAGUUGAUUUCAACCUAUGAUGUUGGAAUUUUCCACAUGGAGAUAAACACUGGGAAGCAGCUAAUCAUUCUCUCUGGAUUUAUAAGGAACAAAUGGAUAAGUGAAACUUGAAAACAAUGGCCAAAGUACUAAGAACUAAUGUUUCUUCAACAAAACAAAUACUUUUACUUUAAGAACAGAAGAUAAAAGGCCAAAGUUGUAAUAUAAGACAAAUUACGGAAAUAUACACUUAUACAUAUAAAACCACUCCUCUUUUUAAAAAAUCAUGCUUUUUAAGAAGAAUCUUCUCAUAUCAGUGAGAAAGAAAGUUAUCUUAACAAACAAAAAGUAUUUUGAAAAAAAGCGUUCACAUGUAUAAGAAAGAAAAUGAACAAAUAAAUAGGAAAAAAGAUCUCUGGUUCAACCAUAUCAAA